Molecule: long non-coding RNA, 1628 nt
Filed under: Varroa destructor (honeybee mite)
Lineage: Eukaryota; Metazoa; Arthropoda; Arachnida; Mesostigmata; Varroidae
Description: uncharacterized LOC111250244
Source: RNAcentral
CGAACAGUCAGAUUCCUGGGCAAAAUUCAGGGCCGGUGAGAGCUAAACAUGAGCUCCCGAGCGCGUCACAAUCGGAGGAUAUGACUCGGGCCCGACAGAGUCGUUACGAACGUGUAUCUCGGAUCAUGACAUGCAACUGGGUUUUAAGUUUUAAGCACCGUUAUUUCCACUGGUGUUUGAAACUACUUGUUCAGUGUUAACAUUGUCAUGCGUGCUAUCGACAACUCAUGCACGGAGCUAUUUAAUUUGCCAUUUUCGACCAGUCUUGGCAACGCGUCGAAGUUCCAGAUGGUCCUGUUUGACUCUAAGUUUACGCUUGAAGUUAUGGUGGUUUUCUGGAAACGGCCAUAUAACGCUCAAAACUCCACCAACGCAUUGGGUCGCUGCUAGCCAUCGCUGGGAGCUCUGUCUUACCGCUAACGGCAUAGGACGUGGCUGAGUGUAAAUGAAGCCCUGCACUCGUUGCUACUAGUGACGUGGUCGUUGUUGUACCCCAACUGGAAACGAAUCUUUCGACUAUGCCGCGCCUACCGCUACUUCUCCCCUUAGGAUUACUUUGCUCCAUACUUCUACUGUAGUUAUUGCUGCUCUCUUACAGUUACAAUAUGAAAGCUUUACUCGAUCACGUUAAAUAUGGUCGCCACUGCUGCGCAGCUCCUAGCUGCUUUAUCGUAGUAACAACUUUCGACGUAGAUGUAUUUCUCUGCUUGUACGUCUGCUCCACUCACUUCAGGCGCAGCUGAGAUGAAGACGACGGAGAUAAAGGAAACGCCCGCGGGUAGCUGAGCUGAUUGGAAACUAAUGAAGAGCAGAGCCCGUAUAAUGACAGAUAUCCUUACGGCAGCAGUAGCAGCCGCGGCGGCGACACAACGAAACGGUGUCGAAUACAAGCAAAGCAGGCUUUCAACUCUAAGGGCCGGGGGCGAGGACAAGGCUAAGGGCAGACAAAAAAAAUUGGCGGUGAAACGAUGAUACAUACUGGAAUAGCAGACCCAAGUGCUUGCUUAUUUCCUUGCUGGCUCGCUCACACUUCACGAACGAAAGUGGAUCAGGAAUAGAAAUAACGAUGACGACAACGUCAAUAGUAAUAACACAGCAGAAUGGCACAACUGCAGAUAGUUCUCAAGCCUUAUGGCGUUUCAGACGAUGGCGAUGAACGUCAGCAGCAGCAACAACAAUGGCAACAAAUUUGAAAAGUGUGUUGCUAACUUUAACUAGACCUAGAAAAGGACUGGAUAUCAAAUUUGUCCGUUUUGGCACAUAUUUAGUUUUUAGCGAGUGGAAAACAAACAUGAAGCGUGACACUCUGUAAAUCUGUAAUCGCCUUAACGGCUGGCUGGCAGGCGGGGAAUAUCCAGUUAGUUUAUUAACAGACGAAAUGUCCAACCAAAAUAUAUACCUCCGAUAUGACGUUAUAUCAGUCAGACGAACUCGUUUGUUUAUAUUUGUUAGAUAGCAUUUAAGAACAAAUCAUAGGAUAUAACAAGAGCAUAUAUUAGUUUUACAUAAUUUAUAUUCGGGUGCCAGAAACAGUCCACUGUAAUCUAAUAUAAUUGAGACGCCACAUAUUUAUGAUAUAAUAUUAAUUAUCGUAAGCAGUUUAGAAGCGGCAACCAGGCUCAUCCUAA